GACGAACGCUGGCGGCGUGCUUAACACAUGCAAGUCGAACGGAAAGGCCCUGCUUGCAGGGUACUCGAGUGGCGAACGGGUGAGUAACACGUGGGUGAUCUGCCCUGCACUUCGGGAUAAGCCUGGGAAACUGGGUCUAAUACCGGAUAGGAGCCAUUUUUAGUGUGAUGGUUGGAAAGUUUUUUCGGUGUAGGAUGAGCUCGCGGCCUAUCAGCUUGUUGGUGGGGUAAUGGCCUACCAAGGCGGCGACGGGUAGCCGGCCUGGGAGGGUGGACGGCCACAGUGGGACUGAGACACGGCCCAGACUCCUACUGGAGGCAGCAGUGGCGAAUAUUGCACAAUGGGCGCAAGCCUGAUGCAGCGACGCCGCGUGGGGGAUGACGGCCUUCGGGUUGUAAACGCCUUUCGCUAGGGACGAAGCUUUUUGUGACGGUACCUAGAGAAGAAGCACCGGCUAACUACGUG
RNAcentral lists this ribosomal RNA (465 nucleotides) under uncultured bacterium. RNAcentral describes it as "partial 16S ribosomal RNA". It matches the Rfam family "Bacterial small subunit ribosomal RNA", at positions 28 to 507 of the family's 1533-position model. The record is from RNAcentral.